GGGCUACUACGGGAGGCAGCAGUGGGGAAUAUUGCACAAUGGGGGAAACCCUGAUGCAGCGACGCCGCGUGAGUGAAGAAGUAUUUCGGUAUGUAAAGCUCUAUCAGCAGGGAAGAAAAAAGACGGUACCUGACUAAGAAGCCCCGGCUAACUACGUGCCAGCAGCCGCGGUAAUACGUAGGGGGCAAGCGUUAUCCGGAUUUACUGGGUGUAAAGGGAGCGUAGACGGAGAAGCAAGUCUGAAGUGAAAGCCAGUGGCUUAACCACGGGUCUGCUUUGGAAACUGUUUGAC
RNAcentral lists this ribosomal RNA (292 nucleotides) under uncultured bacterium. RNAcentral's name for it is "partial 16S ribosomal RNA". It matches the Rfam family "Bacterial small subunit ribosomal RNA", at positions 333 to 641 of the family's 1533-position model. The record is from RNAcentral.